AUUGAACGCUGGCGGCAGGCCUAACACAUGCAAGUCGAACGGUAACAGGAAACAGCUUGCUGUUUCGCUGACGAGUGGCGGACGGGUGAGUAAUGUCUGGGACACUGCCUGAUGGAGGGGGAUAACUACUGGAAACGGUAGCUAAUCCCGCAUAACGUCGCAAGACAAAAGAGGGGGACCUUCGGGCCUCUUGCCAUGGGAUGUGCCCAGAUGGGAUUAGCUAGUAGGUGGGGUAACGGCUCACCUAGGCGACGAUCCCUAGCUGGUCUGAGAGGAUGACCAGCCACACUGGAACUGAGACACGGUCCAGACUCCUACGGGAGGCAGCAGUGGGGAAUAUUGCACAAUGGGCGCAAGCCUGAUGCAGCCAUGCCGCGUGUAUGAAGAAGGCCUUCGGGUUGUAAAGUACUUUCAGCGGGGAGGAAGGGAGUAAAGUUAAUACCUUUGCUCAUUGACGUUACCCGCAGAAGAAGCACCGGCUAACUCCGUGCCAGCAGCCGCAGUAA
Molecule: ribosomal RNA, 506 nt
Filed under: uncultured bacterium
Lineage: Bacteria
Description: partial 16S ribosomal RNA
Rfam family: Bacterial small subunit ribosomal RNA
Source: RNAcentral